This 179-nucleotide ribosomal RNA is filed under the name Lobelia seguinii. RNAcentral's name for it is "5.8S ribosomal RNA". The stretch from base 6 to 161 matches the Rfam family "5.8S ribosomal RNA". From Rfam's summary of the family: 5.8S ribosomal RNA (5.8S rRNA) is a component of the large subunit of the eukaryotic ribosome. It is transcribed by RNA polymerase I as part of the 45S precursor that also contains 18S and 28S rRNA. Functionally, it is thought that 5.8S rRNA may be involved in ribosome translocation. The record is from RNAcentral. Lineage: Eukaryota; Viridiplantae; Streptophyta; Magnoliopsida; Asterales; Campanulaceae.
GAAACGACUCUCGACAACGGAUAUCUCGGCUCUCGCAUCGAUGAAGAACGUAGCUAAAUGCGAUACUUGGUGUGAAUUGCAGAAUCCCGUGAACCAUCGAGUCUUUGAACGCAAGUUGCGCCCGAAGCCGUCGGGCCGAGGGCACGUCUGCCUGGGCGUCACGCAUCGCGUCGCCCCCC